ACAGUUUCUCUUGACAUUUAAAAAUAAAGCUUCCAGUCUUGUCACUAAUGGAUUUGGGGUCCAGUACCCUUAAAAUCACCUCAGAGCUGCCUGAAUCCAUAGACUACUUGCAGAAUCACUGGUUUUACUUGGAUCAAGCCAUCUGAGAAGAAAAAAGCAUUGGAAAUGGAGGAGACUGUCAAGGACAAUAAUAAAUGAUGUUUGGCUGAAAUAAAAACUCAAAGCCCCCACAAUAUUGAACCACCAUUCCAGACCCAGCCAAGGUUUGGAACAUAAAGUGAGCUGAAUGAAUCAGCCUGCAGGCAACCCAGAGAAAGUAAUUGUUCAUCCUAGCAGCACGGCUGCUUUUCUGCUUAGCAUCUGAACAAGUUAAUUUGGAAACACAGCCUUCUGGAAAGAAAUGGCGCUUCUCUCAGCAUCCCAUGGAUUCAUGAGCAGCUCCUUGAAUGCAAAUAUUGCCUGAUAUUUUCAUGUGGUCUCCAGACACAGGAGAAGAGCGACGGCGAAGAAAGGAAGGAAGGAAGAAAGAAAAGGAGCCUGAAUUUACACUCACCGCUUCAAAAGCCCUUUUGUACUAAGCCAACUUCUCCUGGCUGAAGAUGCAGUAUCUGCCAAGAAGUCGCCUGCAAGAAAGCACACCACACAACAAAAGUAUAAAACAGUCCAUUAAAGGGCUCCUUUUCUACCC
RNAcentral lists this long non-coding RNA (688 nucleotides) under Homo sapiens (human). Its description in RNAcentral is "C12orf42 antisense RNA 1". The record is from RNAcentral. Lineage: Eukaryota; Metazoa; Chordata; Mammalia; Primates; Hominidae.